GGGGCUGUAGCUCAUCUGGCUAGAGCGUUUGAAUGGCAUUCAAAAGGUAGUGGGUUCGAUUCCCAUCAGCUCCA
RNAcentral lists this transfer RNA (74 nucleotides) under Candidatus Ornithospirochaeta stercoravium. RNAcentral describes it as "tRNA-Ala". It matches the Rfam family "tRNA". From Rfam's summary of the family: Transfer RNA (tRNA) molecules are approximately 80 nucleotides in length. Their secondary structure includes four short double-helical elements and three loops (D, anti-codon, and T loops). Further hydrogen bonds mediate the characteristic L-shaped molecular structure. tRNAs have two regions of fundamental functional importance: the anti-codon, which is responsible for specific mRNA codon recognition, and the 3' end, to which the tRNAs corresponding amino acid is attached (by aminoacyl-tRNA synthetases). tRNAs cope with the degeneracy of the genetic code in two manners: having more than one tRNA (with a specific anti-codon) for a particular amino acid; and 'wobble' base-pairing, i.e. permitting non-standard base-pairing at the 3rd anti-codon position. Lineage: Bacteria; Pseudomonadati; Spirochaetota; Spirochaetia; Spirochaetales; Spirochaetaceae. The record is from RNAcentral.